Molecule: long non-coding RNA, 1637 nt
Filed under: Aquilegia coerulea
Lineage: Eukaryota; Viridiplantae; Streptophyta; Magnoliopsida; Ranunculales; Ranunculaceae
Description: long non-coding RNA (ACOE_LNC000903)
Source: RNAcentral
UCCAAUGUAAUGGCAUUAAGUAAUGCCAAAGAGAGAUUCUUCACGUGGGAUUGUUUAGCUACAAAAACAAGUCAUGAACUUGUUUGCUGAAACUUAUACACAGUACAAGAAUUCACUGCUCCAGAUACACAGACACCAACAAAAAAGAUUUCUCUUCAAACCAUUGGCACAAAACCUCCUUACAUGGAGAUGCUACACCAACAAAAGAAGGCAACGUACACAGAAUUCUACAAUUUACAAGGCAACCAAGUUUGUCGUCAAGAAGGGGAAACCCCAAAAAACCCUCUAAAAAAUUUAAAGUAUCUCACACAAACAUAUACAUAUACUAACCCACAUUGCUAUUUCUCAGAAUACCUUUCUCUGGUAACAUCUAGCACAAAUAUCUUUGCCUCUUUGCUGAAAUAACUCCUUGAUUAGGGGCAUGGCAGAUCAAACCGGAAGGCAGCCAUUUAGAUUUCGUAUUCCUUGGGUCAUGUAUACAACACCGACUGCCCCACGACCUCCUACUCAGCCUCAGUCUCAGCCUCAGCCUCGGCCUCAGCCCCAACCAACUCAGCCCACCACCCCGGUUCGUCCUCCAUUUCGUCCAGCAGGAGUAGCUCCUCCACGUCUACCUUCCCCACCCCAAGUCCGGUCAAGGACUGACUCUCAGCCUCCCUCUCCAGCACGUAUGGUGGCAUCUACACCGCCUUCACCAGACAAAUCAGCCUUACCAAUUCGAUCAGCACCUCAAUUGAGCUCUCAGCCUCCUUCACCGUCUAAAACAGCUUCAUCCCAAGCCCCUUCAAAAACUGAAUCUCAGCCUGCGUCUCCAACUCGAACAGCCCCUAAAUCCCAAGCAAGCUCUCAGCCCUCAUCACCAUCAAUUUCCCCACCUCGAACACCACCAACUACUGAUUCUAAGUCAUCCAUUCCGUCUCUAACAACCCCAAAAUCACAAGUUCCAUCUCAGCUGCCAUCUCCAUCUCCUACAUCUAAAACACAAUCAGCAACCCGAACAUCCUCACAACCAUCAUCACCAUCUCUCGCACAAACCCAGCCACAACAAGUGUAUCAGCAUCCAUCUCCAUCACACACAGACUCACAAAGAGCUACUCAAACAUCCUCACAACCACCAUCUCCGUCUCAUAUUGUAUCUCAAGUGGGAGCUGCGACUCAAGCUGCGACUCAAAAUAUAUCCCAUCCACAAUCACCAUCACUCCAAGCCUCUCAAUUACAGCCAACAUCUCAAAAGCUAUCUCCGCCACCAUCACCCCCAAUGUCAUCAGCUUUUCAGACUGAACCUCGAUCCACCAACAGCCAGCCAAAAAUGUCCGAAUUACCAUCCAAAUAUCCAUUGAAGGCAGAAGGCUCGUCUCAACAAAUCUAUCAGCCAGACCAGAAAAGGCAGCCACAAUUAGGGUCUCCUGCUGUUUUUGUUGAUCCCAGACAGCAUCAGGCACCAGAAAGUAAAGCAGAAGAAAAAAAGAAAGAGAACUCAACAGUCCCAGUUGACGAAGAAAGAAAGCAGAGGACAAUACCUGAGUUUAUUCAAAUGGCUUCUGUUUCCAACACACAUCCCAAAGGCCAGCUUGAUACAUCCGAAGAAGAAAAGCAGCAGAGAAGGAAACAUGCAGGCACCAAUGAAAAGGAUAUGA